AUGUCAUUAGUGUGUGGAAUAAGCAAGCCUCCUGAGACAGAGUCAUAAAUGAUGUACUGUUUUUGUCUCCUUGUUCCCUUUUAAGUUUACUCAGUAGAAGGAAGUUCUAAAUGAAAUUUUAGGCAGAGGAACUUGGGAGGCCUUAGGUGGGCUUUCUUAGAAGAAAUGUGGAAACUAAGACCUGGUGAUUGAGUAAAAGUUGGCCAAAUUGAGGGGUGUGGGCUCUGGGGCAGGAAGAGGGAAGAGAAGAGUGUUCCUGAUGUAGAGUAAAGAUGAGGAGGUGAGAAAUAGCCUGAUGCCUUAGAGGGGUUCAAAGAUCAAUAUAGUUAUGUGGGAGGGAAGGAGAGGUGUACUGUGGAGGGCUUUUAUAGUGGGACAGAUUUUCUCUGAAUACCCCAGGUUACCCCAGGUUUUAGCCUACAUUCAUACAAAGUGGGCAGUAAAUAAAUAUUUUUGAAAAUAAAGUCUGAAAAUCAUAUAAGUUUUUGGUUCCUUAACACAAUUUCCCUUCUCGUAAUUCAGAACCACCAUGCAUCAACUUCCCACUUCUCCUCACUGGAAAAUUGGAGGACUAUCUCCAAAUGGUUUUUGGACCUUAAGGCAGAGGGAGAAAAGUUUGCAUCCUUCAAGCAGAAGCUCCCAUGGAGUUUGUUGGUAAAGCAAGUUGUCUCAGGAAGUAAUGACUGAAGAUACAAUGCCUAGAAGUGUCACAGGCAACUUGCAACCUUGAGGAUAAAAUUCACAUGCUGAGCAUGAAGGAGCAUAAUGACAGAAGCUUGGAUUCUUUCUCAAUGCCAUUGAAUGAAGAGAAAGGUGACAGUUGGAUGAAGAAAGGCCUUGUGGAGGAAGUGUCAUUAGAGCUGACCUUCAGGAGCAAGUUCAAUGUUACUGCAGGCAAUCCUGGGGAAGUUAUUACAGAAAGUGCAGAGGAGAUCACUGGAUCAGAGGUGAAAAGAACAUGUGAGCAACCCUGAGGAAGCCAGCAACUAGGCUGCCCCAGAAGUCAGGAGUCUUUCAGUGUUUUCCGUGCUUAGAGCCUCAUCAACCAAGACAGGUGUGUGUGUGGUGGGGGGGGGGGGGGGGGGGGUAGGGGAUGACGGGGGAGGUUCCUCUCAAUCCCCUGGCUUUAGUCUUGCUCAGCAUUCUGGGGUGUGCUGGCUCAGGUCGAAGAAGCAGCACAUACUAACUUCCUCCCAGCUGCCUUAGUCAGCUGAGCCAAUUGCAUUGAGUGCUUGACAUCAAGGCUUCUCAAACAGAAUCCUGUUGGAAGAAACACAGACAGAGCUCUCCCCUCUUGUGUCUCGGCCUCUGGUAGGAGAUUUUCAUAGAUGGUGCUCAUCUCCCAGUUGUGGUACUGGUGGUUGGGAUAGUGAUUACCUGUCUAGGUUGUGGCUUGGCUGGACUGAGGUCCCAUCUAGUAACUUGCCCCAGGGAGGGGCCAAGGCUCAGUCAGAUAAAGCCUCUUCUCAUUACACGGAACACACCCACCCCAUCGGCCCAGUUCUACUGCUUUUGAUGUCAGGGAUGCAGACUUGGGCUGAUUAGUCCAUUCAAAGUAGAUUGAAAAAAAAGUCCCUAUUUAUUUAGUCAGGAUUGUGUUUCAACAACAAAACCCUGAAAAGCUCUGAGGCUUCAAAGUUUAUUUCUUAUUUCUGCUAUAUGUCCAUUAUGGGUUGGAUGUGGCUCUAUCCCAUCUUACCUUUACUCUGGGACCCAUGCUGAUGGAGCAGGGGGCCCUAACUGAAACAUUGCUAUUUAUCUCCUGGCAGGGAGGAGCUCAGUGAACCAUCCAUUAGCCCUUAAAACUUCUGCUGGGAAGUGAUCCAAGGCUCUUCUGCCCAGUUCCAUUGGCCAAAGUCAAUCAUAUGGCUAAGUUUUCUCUAAGGGGUAAGGAAGGGAUAAUCCCCCCCCACCACCCCCCGGGAGCAGCAUGGAAUAUUUGUGAAAAAUGCUACAAUAUUCCACACUUGGUCACCAAGGGAGGUAUUCCUCAAUUUCAUCAUAAAUUUACCUUAACUGACAGGUACUGGUGUGGUUUUUAUUUACCAUCUUUUAAAACAGUGGGAAAACCUGAGUGGUAAGUACCAAUCUCCAGGUGAUUGGUGAAGGUCAUUCAUUUCGGGUGAAGAGCUGAGAAAUAACAGAUUCAAAGCGUAGUGUGUGUUGUAGGUUGGAGGCAUAGAGUAGGAGGCAAGAUGGGGGAGAGAGAGGAGCUUGAGUGUGGUGGGCCUUAGGCACCAAGGGUUUAGAAUCAUUCUUUAGGCAGUGAAGUUUCAUUGAAGACUUCAGAGUGUUGGGAUGCACACUCUUCCUGCCAAGAGCCCCUAAGACAUUUAUAAAGGAUGAAAUGAAGGCUGGGUACUAGUUAGAAACCAUCACUAGGAGAAUAAUGGUGAAUUUGACUUCAGUUCCAGACAGAUUUAAGUUCAAGAUCUGCCUUUGAAAUAUCAUAGCCACAUGAUUCCAGGGAAGUUCCUCUACCUCUCUAAACCUUGGUUUGUUCCAUGUAAGAUGGAGAUGAUAAUAGUAUUGCCUUCCAUGGUUUGCUGUGGGAACUAAGUAAAGUAAUGUAUGUAAAGUGGUUAGCAAAACCCAAUACACCUAGAAAGCCCUUACAUGUGGGAAAGCAGAGACAAUGAAGAUUUAGAAUCAAUAGGAUCUGGUGAUUUUAUGUGAAGAGUAAAGACAUGGGAGGAUUUGAAGAGAGUACCAACGUUCCCGGACUGGUGAAUGGUAAUGCCACUUACCUAUUCAGAAGCUGGUAACAGCUGGGGGAGGAAAAAUCCUGAGUCUGGGAUCCCAGGGAGACAUCCGUGGAGAAGGUUUCCAGCAGGUGCUUAGAAAUGUGAGCAAGGCUUAGUAGAUAGAACUUGUACAAUGAGUCAUUGGCUGAUUGUGUGGACAGAUGGUUUCUGGGGUCUUUUGUGGAAAAUACUUAAUUUUAUUUUAAUACUUACACAGCACUAAGAGCUGAGGAAAGAGACACUUCUCCAGGCUAAAGAUUCUGGACGUCAGUGAUUCUCACACUUGAAUAUAUCAGAAUUACCUGGAGGGCUUCUUUAAGCCCAGAAUUUCUGAUUCAGUAGGUCAAGAGGCUGGAAACUGGGUUUCCUCACCUCCUCCAAGUGCUCUGCUCUUAUGUUGUCUCUGUCUUAACUGAGUCUUAGAGUAGACCUGGAAAAUGCUGACCCCACAAACAGGAGUGAUUGCAUUCACACCAUCGAUCCUCAUGUCUAGAAUAAGAUUUAGGGAAAUGGCCUUUUGAGAAUACACAGCAGAUUGCUGGGAGAUCAGCAGCAAUUCAAUAUGACAAGUGUGGCAGAUUUUUUGAUUUGUAACAUCCCUAUGUUAUAAUUCAUAGAAUAAGUCUUUAGCCUAUGGACCUUAUUCAAGAGAUAUCAUCUGUCCUGAUGAACUAAAAAAUCCAGAAAACCACAAUAAAUGCCUGUUGUGUGCA
Leopardus geoffroyi (Geoffroy's cat) is the source of this 3457-nucleotide long non-coding RNA. RefSeq lists it as uncharacterized. The transcript is spliced from 3 exons. The record is from RefSeq and is a predicted model, not a curated record. NCBI's taxonomy places the organism in Eukaryota, Metazoa, Chordata, Mammalia, Carnivora, Felidae.